RNAcentral lists this ribosomal RNA (254 nucleotides) under uncultured bacterium. RNAcentral describes it as "partial 16S ribosomal RNA". It matches the Rfam family "Bacterial small subunit ribosomal RNA", at positions 524 to 776 of the family's 1533-position model. The record is from RNAcentral.
CACGUAGGGGGCAAGCGUUGUCCGGAUUUAUUGGGCGUAAAGAGCUCGUAGGCGGCUCGGUAAGUUGGGUGUUAAACCCCUAGGCUUAACCUGGGGACGCCACCCGAUACUGCCGUGGCUAGAGUCCGGUAGGGGAGCGUGGAAUUCCUGGUGUAGCGGUGAAAUGCGCAGAUAUCAGGAGGAACACCAGCGGCGAAGGCGGCGCUCUGGGCCGGAACUGACGCUGAGGAGCGAAAGCGUGGGUAGCAAACAGG